UGGGAUGGCGUCAAGUCAGCAUGGCCUUUAUGUCCUGGGCUACACACACGCUACAAUGGCCGGUACAAUAGGUUGCGAAGCCGCGAGGCGGAGCCAAAUCCUCAAAAGCCGGCCUCAGUUCAGAUUGCAGGCUGCAACCCGCCUGCAUGAAGAUGGAGUUGCUAGUAACCGCAGGUCAGCUAUACUGCGGUGAAUACGUUCCCGGGGCUU
RNAcentral lists this ribosomal RNA (210 nucleotides) under uncultured Levilinea sp. Its description in RNAcentral is "partial 16S ribosomal RNA". It matches the Rfam family "Bacterial small subunit ribosomal RNA", at positions 1175 to 1382 of the family's 1533-position model. The record is from RNAcentral. Lineage: Bacteria; Bacillati; Chloroflexota; Anaerolineae; Anaerolineales; Anaerolineaceae.